UUACGGUCAUAUCACGUUGAAACAUUAGUUCUCGUAUGAUCAUCGAAGUUAAGCAAAGUCGAGCCUGCUCAUUAGCUAGAUGGGUGGCCGCUUGGGAAUACCGGGUGCU
This is a non-coding RNA of Acanthosepion pharaonis, 109 nucleotides long. The record is from the annotation of a GenBank genome assembly. Lineage: Eukaryota; Metazoa; Mollusca; Cephalopoda; Sepiida; Sepiidae.